AUUCAGGCAUGCUCAUGAGAACACGCUGCUCCAGCUGGACUUAGAGGAAGCCGGUGCAUCACAGGCAUUCCUGACAGAGUCUCGUGGUCCUGCUGGUCCACUCACUGGAAUAUCAGCACAUUGAUGGACAUGUGGACUAUUUGGAUUCAGAAGACCUGGUUUGAGCUCAGCUCUGCUGCCAACUGUCUGUGUGACCUUAAGUAAAAUUAUCUCCUCUCU
RNAcentral lists this non-coding RNA (219 nucleotides) under Pan troglodytes (chimpanzee). Lineage: Eukaryota; Metazoa; Chordata; Mammalia; Primates; Hominidae. The record is from RNAcentral.